Molecule: regulatory RNA element, 100 nt
Organism: Kiloniella sp.
Lineage: Bacteria; Pseudomonadati; Pseudomonadota; Alphaproteobacteria; Rhodospirillales; Kiloniellaceae
Rfam family: Pyrrolysine insertion sequence mttB
Source: Rfam
AUUUCUGAUUCAAAAAUUCCCGAUGCACAGGCCGGUGCAGAAAAAAGCCUGACAGGCCUCGCCGCCGCACUGGCAGGUUCCAACUACAUCCAUCACUCGG